Molecule: ribosomal RNA, 253 nt
Filed under: uncultured bacterium
Lineage: Bacteria
Description: partial 16S ribosomal RNA
Rfam family: Bacterial small subunit ribosomal RNA
Source: RNAcentral
UACGGAGGGUGCAAGCGUUGUCCGGAUUUAUUGGGUUUAAAGGGUGCGUAGACGGCUUUUUAAGUCAGUGGUGAAAGACGGCAGCUUAACUGUCGCAGUGCCAUUGGUACUGGGAAGCUUGAGUGCAGUUGAGGUAGGCGGAAUUUAUGGUGUAGCGGUGAAAUGCAUAGAUACCAUAAAGAACACCGAUAGCGAAGGCAGCUUACUAAACUGUAACUGACGUUGAGGUACGAAAGCAUGGGGAUCGAACAGG